AGGAAGUGAAAGUAUAAAAAUCUGGAAUGCAAACUCACAUUUAAAAGAGCUAGAACCCGCUCUGGUGUGAAAGGCGUACAGCGGUUUGAUCCCCGCUUAUGGGAUAUGAAGUAAAUUUCCUUCGUCUGUGAUAUGUUUCCUCCGUCCGUGGUAUGAUAAGCACUCGGGUAAAAAGAAACAGCCAAUAGUGUUCACUGGAUAAGAAACUUUUAGAUAAAAUAAUAAAA
Pelobates cultripes (western spadefoot toad) is the source of this 227-nucleotide non-coding RNA. The record is from the annotation of a GenBank genome assembly. Lineage: Eukaryota; Metazoa; Chordata; Amphibia; Anura; Pelobatidae.